Molecule: ribosomal RNA, 443 nt
Filed under: uncultured bacterium
Lineage: Bacteria
Description: partial 16S ribosomal RNA
Rfam family: Bacterial small subunit ribosomal RNA
Source: RNAcentral
CCUACGGGUGGCAGCAGUGGGGAAUAUUGGGCAAUGGGCGCAAGCCUGACCCAGCAACGCCGCGUGAAGGAAGAAUGCUUUCGGGUUGUUAACUCCUUUUCUCAGGGACGCAGUAAGUGACGGUACUUGAGGAAUAAGCCAUGGCUAACUACGUGCCAGCAGCCGCGGUAAUACGUAGGUGGCAAGCGUUAUCCGGAUUUAUUGGGUGUAACGGGCGUGUAGGCGGGAGCGCAAGUCAGAUGUGAAAACUCAGGGCUCAACCCUGAGCCUGCAUUUGAAACUGUGUUUCUUGAGUGCUGGAGAGGCAAUCGGAAUUCGGGGUGUAGCGGUGAAAUGCGUAGAUAUACGGAGGAACACCAGUGGCGAAGGCGGAUUGCUGGACAGUAACUGACGCUGAGGCGCGAAAGCGUGGGGAGCAAACAGGAUUAGAUACCCCUGUAGUC